UCGGUUCCGGUUCACGCCCCGCGGGGGCGACCCGGGGCACC
Molecule: non-coding RNA, 41 nt
Filed under: unclassified sequences
Description: L31-Actinobacteria ribosomal protein leader
Rfam family: L31-Actinobacteria ribosomal protein leader
Source: RNAcentral